Odontomachus brunneus is the source of this 2308-nucleotide RNA transcript. It is a transcript of the gene named WD repeat domain phosphoinositide-interacting protein 4-like, with no coding region annotated. The record is from RefSeq and is a predicted model, not a curated record. Lineage: Eukaryota; Metazoa; Arthropoda; Insecta; Hymenoptera; Formicidae. The transcript has 8 exons.
UGUUCCAUAUUCAAUAAGUAACUAAGAUAGAAUGAUGCUUGUGUUGACUUAUGUUAUUAAAUGAAAGGCACCUAAUAGUGUGUUCGAGUGGCUCUGGUGGCUAUGGUAUUCACCUGAAGGACAAGAAUAUUAUUGACUUCCACGAAAUUCUUCAAGUUUUGCACAAUACUAAUCAAAGCUUAUAAACUCUAGUGUGGAAAUUUCAUCAGUAUAAUGGCGUUGGGCGAUGAAUUCCUAGAGACACAUUGAAGUUGAAAUCUACAUGUAUCGUGUAUUAAAUAUAUGCUAAUUUUGGUCAACCAAGAUGGCCGCGGUGUAUAUUUCCCCUUACUCCUAAAGCUUCACAUCCCGCGUUUAUGGUGGUACCUUAUGCUCAAUCCAGAUGUUCUUACGUCCAUGAUCGUGAGCCAUUUAUAACACAACACAUACUGUGGAGACAAUGCAUCAUGCCUGUGACAAGAAUCUAAACAAAAGCAUACAUUGAUAAUAUCACGAAUUAAAGCACAACAAGUCACAAUGGCUGCUAUGAGAGGCAUUCACAGUUUGAGGUUUAAUCAGGAUCAAGGAUGCUUCAUGUGUUGCAUGGAGUCUGGAUUGAGAAUUUACAAUGUCGAGCCACUAGUUGAGAAAGCACAUUUUGAGAAUGAAUUGAUGGGAAGUAUCGCUAUAGCAGAGAUGCUCUGGAGGACAAACGUGAUCGCUGUAGUAGGUGGUGGGACACGUGCCAAAUUUGCAGAUAAUACUGUUUUGAUUUAUGAUGAUUUGUCUAAGAAAUUUGUCAUGGAGGUUACAUUUACCAGUCCCAUUAAAGCUGUCAGAUUGCGAAGAGAUAAAAUGAUAGUGGCGCUCCAGAGAGAGGUCCACGUCUUUUCGUUUCCCACUCCUACUCGGCGGUUACUGACGUUGGAAACGCGGGACAAUCCGAAGGGUUUGGUAGAGAUAGCGACUCUCGCGUCAGCGCAGAAGCAACUGCUGGCUUUUCCCGGCCAUAAACUCGGUAGCGUGCAGUUGCUGGAUCUCGGCGCGACCGAGGCUGGAAGUUCCAGUGCUCCCGUGACUCUUGCGGCGCAUCAAGGUGCACUAGCCUGUCUGGCGGUUAACGGAAAUGGAACUAUGGUUGCUACCGCAUCCGCUCAAGGAACCCUAGUCAGAGUAUGGGACUCCAUACGAAGGCAUCUGUUAGUCGAAUUGAGACGUGGUGCCGAUCCUGCUACAUUUUAUUGUAUAACGUUCAGCAGAGAUUCAGAAUUUUUGUGUGUCUCUAGUGACAAGGGAACAGUACACAUAUUCGCCCUGAAAGAUACUCGCUUAAAUCGACGAUCCACGUAUUUUUUCAAAGAUGGGUUUUCUGGGUAACUACAUUGAGAGUCAGUGGGCAUUGGCUACUUUCACAGUACCCCCUGAAUGCGCGUGCGUUUGUGCGUUUGGCGCACAUAAUUCUGUGAUAGCUAUAUGCAUGGACGGAACGUUCCACAAGUAUGUGUUCACUGCAGAAGGCAAUUGUAAUCGGCAAGCAUUUGAUGUCUUCCUGGACGUUUGCGAUGAUAACGAUUUUUAACAUAAGGCCUAUAUUUCGUAUGCGCGCGUGUGUACAAUGCGUACGCAUAGUUAUAAGAUCAUGUACUACCGAUGAAAUUUCUAGUCGAUUUUGCGAACGAAAUUUCUUGUGCGUGAUAAUUAUUCGGGCAGUUGAAUCACUCGCUAUUGUAGUAGAAAGUAAAGUAAAAAUACCAACGUCUAAAGACACGUAGUUAACUCUGGACAUUCUUAUUGUUUUGGUCUUUAAGGAUCCUCGCCGUGGAACUCUCGACUGAUGACAUCAGAAGCAAGGAAUCACGAAUAUUUAAACUUUCAACAUAGAAUAAAUAAAUAAAUAAAUAUAUAUAUAUAUAUAUAUAUAUAUAUACUUUUUUUAUGAUAAAGGUUUGAGUAUUUAUAUUUAAAGAGUAUAAAUAAGAAUAUCCAAAGUUAGACAAGUCUAGGCAUUAGUAAUUUUACCCUAUAUAAGUAAGUUAUUUUGUGAUAGAAAAAGAUGAUAUUGGGUGCAUUUAGUACUACAACUGUGCGUUGAACUUCUGUAUCUGACUAGUGUAUAUUUUUAAAUCGAGAAAAAUAUGCCAAUUGAAUACAAGAAUUCAGUAGACAAUAUAGUACUGAAUGCAUACAUUUUAUGCUGUAAAAUAAGCCUACAGUUAUAUUCCAUAAACCGUUAUCUAUGCUAAUUAUACAUUUUUUUAUGACUAAUGUACUUUUCAAAAUUGACAAUUUAAUUGCAAGGAACAUUAAUAGACAUUUAUUUUAUACAACA